GUAUAGCGCGCCCCUGGACCGAAGCUCCCACUACAGAGGGGCAAUGCUGGCGAGGGUCGCAGAGUGAAAACGAGAGGGAAAAGAAGGCUGUGCGGUACGAGCAUGAGAGAGGGAGAGAUCGGGUGGUCCCUAACAGAUGUUUGUUAACGGCAAAAACGUUGUGCGCCUCUAUCAUUAACACUCGAGCUCUGUUUUAAUUUCCAAAUCUAUUUUCAGUAAAUAUUUCAAAUUCUAUUAAAAUCACCAAGUUACAUUUUAAAACUUUUCGUGUGAGCUGGUGGAUUUUUUUUUUACGUGAAUGGUAGGGCCUAUAUGGACUCCCAACUUUAAAAAAGGUGUUAACAACAAAUAUUAUGAGUGAGUGAGUUCCUUCCAACUUCUCAAAGGCUUUGACGUUUGUGAACUUUCCACUGGAUCAGGAUUUAAAAACAAACAAACAAACAAUCCCUUCUUCGUCAGAGCAACAAGUGACAAAAAAACGUCAAACCUCAACGUCACCUCCGCCUCCUCCUCCCCUUCCUCUUCCCCUUCCUCCUACUUCUCCCCUCAGUCUAGUUUCACCUCACUCGUUCUUUUCCCUGUCAUUCGUGACGAACUGGAGGACUCCCACAGCUAGAUUAGCUCGCACCUCCAAGAUUCAUUGAUUUGGAUAUCACGGAAGCGUGUGGUGGAAAUAGCAAGUGAAAGUGAGUAGCUUUGAACGUGACUUGUUGCAUGCACUUUAACGAUAAUAUGUUUUAAAAAGUUGUUUUCUGUUUAUGAAAGGAGUUUUAUCAUUCUGGGAUUACCUGUGCCUUCCUCCGGCAUGUACGUUUUCACUUAAUGUGCAUCAUGUUUUCUAUAGUCGAUGCUUUUUUUCUGAAUUAUUUAUUCAUUUUUCCAGAAAGAGAUGAGAUGUUUAGAAAAUGAUGAGGAUGCUGAAAAAGAUAAUCAUUUCUCUUAAACACUUUUGCUUGUUUUUGUGUUGUUGUUGUGAAUCAAAACUUUUACUUUUGGAUGUCAAGUUUAUUUUUUUUCAACAAGCCAUAACACGGGUCUAAAGUGUUCUACAGUAGUCAACUUUCGAAAUGUUAGUGUUGCCUCUGUCCAGACGUUACAAAAACAUAAGAAAGCAAAGACUGAAGGUGAAUAAAGUUUGAACAAAAUUAAAUCAAAGACACAGUUUUGAAUUUUGACGCAUAAAUCUAUCAAUUGUACAAAGCCGUCCAAAUGAAGCCCUCUAAACUCACUUCAAAUAAAGAUUUCAGAACUAAAUAGGCCGAUGCAUAACUGGAAUGUUCCGAGUCUAGUUUUUGGUAAUAACCGACAUUUCAAACGGUGUGGACCCCAUGUGUGAAAAAUACGUUAUUACAAUAUGGUUUUGUUGAUACCUGGAGGUGUCAUGUCUGACUCAGAGGUUGACACGCUAUGGCCCGUUAUUACUAACUGCGAUCGCUGCCUGCUGUCGUGUAUUUUGUCAUAGUAAAGGCCAGUCGGUGCCUUGACGUUAUCGAACCACAUUGUGUGUUGUUUCUUUUCCCUGACAUCUUGCAUUGGAAUAUUCCCUUCAUAAUAGCUUGGUUGCGUGUCUUAUGAUCAAGGUAUUGUAUUUUUAAAAAACCUUUAAUAUGGUUAUAACGCAGCUACUGAUUACUAUUUUGUCCACUACAACACUGUUACACCCUGAACGUGUGAAAGCAAACAUGAUCUCACUCUUACAUGUCCUGAAAAAUUUGUCACGGCCAACAUUUUCAAAAUUCGCUCGAUCUGGUCCGUGCUUUACAAAAGCUGUAGCAGACCACAAAACAACAUGCCAAUGUAUAAUUCAUCUUCAUAAAAAUAAAAACAAAA
Aplysia californica (California sea hare) is the source of this 1830-nucleotide long non-coding RNA. RefSeq lists it as uncharacterized. The record is from RefSeq and is a predicted model, not a curated record. The transcript is spliced from 2 exons. NCBI's taxonomy places the organism in Eukaryota, Metazoa, Mollusca, Gastropoda, Aplysiida, Aplysiidae.